UGCAAAGUACUUGUGGGUUUCCUGUCUGCUUGUCCGCAAACUGCCUCCUUAUUUCAUUAGUAUUUAAUGCAACACUUGUUGCUUGUUCUCAGUUACACAUGAAUGGGUAAAAUGGCAUCUUUCACAGUAUUUCUGCCAUCCUUUUACUUGUUUUGGAUCAUCACUCCUUACUUCCUGUUUGCAUUCACUCAUGUCCAUGGACUCCCGAAACCUGAGCUGUUUGUAUCCUCCUCAGUAAUUUUGCCGACAACCACAGUCCAUCUGAGUUGUGUAGUCCCUCAGGAUCCAGUAGAUCAGUGUAUUUUCAUGGUGGGAAAGACAUACACCACCUCUACAUCAUCAUGCGAGCUGACCCUCACAGGAGAACAAAUUAUAGUCCGGGGACAUGUAAACCCACCUUCAGUGCUUCCAGUGAAAUGUUUCUACACUGUAAAAGGGUCUGGUGUUAAUCGUCCCUCUGAUCACUCUUCUCCUGUUUCGGUGCUUGUGCUGGAUAAUUUGCAGAAACCCAAGGUAAGCGUGCAUCAUGACCGAACAAAUAAGCUGUUCGACAUUGUUUGUGAAAUACCCAAGCAGUCCUGGAAUGUCACUGGAUGCCAGUUUUAUACUGGACAUGGGGAGAACUUGUACCCGACAGCUAAAAUAGCAUCUGGAAACUGCCAUUUGUAUUCUGUGGACGAGGAUGAUUUAUUCAGACGUCUGCAGUCAGUGGGGAGCGGAGAGGUGAGCUGUGAUUAUAUAGUGAACACAGAACCUUCAUCUCUCUCUCCACGCAGUGACCCUUACACCAUUCAAGGAUACCAGCCCCCGACCAAAAAUACUCCUUUAAGACCAUCAGAAGCAGUGUCAUGGGGAACAGUGUUGAUCUUGGCGGUGACUAGCCUGUGCAUUGGCCUGGCUGGCGUGUCAGCAAUCUGUCUCAUCUGGACAUGUCGUAUGUGAUAAUCAUGACAUUUCAUUCAUAGAAUAGCUCUAGGAAAACACAUUCAUGCUGAAGGUAACACAUUUGCAACUUUCCUAGGUGUGUUUUAUAGACAACUGGUUUUGUUACCAUCUUAAAAUUCAUUUGAUGCGUUGUGGUCAUAUGAAGGACCGAUAAAGACUCCUGUCAUUCCCACUAUUCGCCCAGGCUAUACACUGUGUAGUUUGGUGGUCUGGGACAGACACGGAUUGACAUUGCCAAUUAUAUCUCCAAAGGUCACCAGCUGGCACAUUAGCAAGCUUUUAUCAGUGUCAGAUGUGCUGUUGUUAGUGUUUACAAGGUUUUUGCAUGCAGCCUAAUUUAUUUUAUAUAUCUGAAAGAUGCAGCCUUAUUUACUCUCUGAUAGGCACAUCUUAUUUUCUCUUUCAGGGAAACAUAAACAUCAGAGGUGAGAUCCUAUGUGUUUCAUUCUUUCAAAAAACACGUUCAUCGUUUUAAAGGACCAUAAGCAGCAACUGACUUCCUGUGUAUCUUACAAACAGUUCAAAGGGUACUCUAGGCAGGACCAGACAGAGUAAGAUCCUAUAUGUCUUCACACUCACCAUAUGUGUAGCCUAUGUACUGGGAGGAACAUGCUAAUUUACAGACUAUUUUAUUUGUGUUUGUGUUUCAGAGAAUCACCCAGACAUUAUGCCUGCACAUAAUACAGUUAGAACUGUUAAUGACACUGCUGGAACAUUCUCCAUGACCACCUCCACCUCCCUGACUGUAGCUCCAGAGGUUGACAAAAGGGAAGACAUUUUCUCUGAACAGGAUGAUGCAAACCAGUAUCAUGUCUACAACUCUAUAUCUGACCCACCAAGUAUCUCCAACCAGGGGGACCCCACAUACAGUACAGCUUGGUGCAGGACCACAGGAGCCCUGUUGUCACACAGCAGGACAUGACCUACAACCUUCUGCAGGUGCACUGAUACAGCUGCACAUACCGCAUAUAGCAUUUAUUAUGCUUUAAAAGGCUAAUCUUGUGUUUUGGAAUGCCUGCAUAUAGAGAAAAUAGCUACAAUGACUAUGGUCUAUUGAGGGUUUGAUUGACAUCUUAUCCAGUGAAAUUUCUGUUGUAUUUGAGCUAGAAUCUAAAGAUUUCAGGAGGCUAGUUUGCAGUAUAUAGGCAGAUUUACUAAUGGUAAAUACAUUGUUAAAUAAGCCACGCCCACAUAUGCAUGUCCCAAAAUUGCCCGGAAUUACUGCCUCUCUGAGUACAUCUGCCACUUAGUCAAAUAUUUUCAUCAGUAGGCUAGUUAUUAUUGUUAGAGUUUUAGAUAACAAAUGUAAACUUUUAAAUGUAUUAUUUAUUUAUCAUUAUAUAUAUUGUUGUUAGAUACUGUUGCUUGGUUCUCUGUAUGUGUAAAAUGAUUUAUUAACAAUUUAAAAUUCAUAUUACCGUAUUUAAAAAAUGGUGAAUAAAAUGGUUAUUUUACGUGGUACUGUAAGUGGUCCGCCUCAGUCUGAAUGAACAAAAGCCUGGUAGUAUAAGUGCAUUCACUGACAUUUGUAGAACUGUUCUAGAAUAUUUAACCCAGUGGACUUUCACUCUCAAGAUUAUUCCACAAAGUAAAUAGAUUUGUUUCAAAGAUAUUAAUUUGAAACCUUUUGCUAACAAUUUUAUAUCACCAAGGUUUUUUGUUUCUCUGAAAAACAUUUCUUAAAUAAAGGAAUUUGUA
This is a long non-coding RNA of Clupea harengus (Atlantic herring), 2643 nucleotides long. NCBI's taxonomy places the organism in Eukaryota, Metazoa, Chordata, Actinopteri, Clupeiformes, Clupeidae. The record is from Ensembl.